AUGAGCUCCAGGCGCCCACAGCUUCACUUCAUCCUGCUACUGCUCACAUACUACUGCCCCAUCCGCAUCGCUGCCAACGGCGGCAAUGGAACCAGAGUCCAGUGCCUCCCUGAUCAGGCGUCGUCUCUCCUCCAGCUGAAGCACUCCUUUCACAACACCAACCUCUCUACCUGGCAGCAGGGCUCAGACUGUUGCCACUGGGAGGGCGUCGGGUGUGAUAGGGAUUCCGGUCAGGUGAUCACUUUGGACCUCAGUGAUCGUAACCUGCGGAGCUUCCGUGGUCUCAGCCCAGCACUAUUCAAUCUCACCUCUCUCACAAGUCUCAGCCUCUCUGGUAACGACUUUGGCCAUAUCAACCUUCCUAAUUUCGGCUUUGAGCGGCUGGUCCAGCUCCUCAGUCUCGACUUGUCUGAUACGAGCUUGGCUGGACAGAUUCCUGGGUUAUUUGCAACAUUCUCUUUCUUAAGAUACAUUGAUCUCUGGGGUAAUAAUUUUGAAGGGAAACUUCCAACAAAAAUCUUCCAGCUAGAAAAUCUGAUAUAUCUUGAUUUCUCGUACAACCCUAGUCUUUUUGUUCAACUACCAAAUUUCUCACCAGGAAAUCAUUUGGAAUCUUUAGAUUUAUGGAAGACAAAUUGUUCUGGUGUCAUACCAGACUCUUUUUUUGACCGGUUUUAUCCUAUGUGUGCAGGUGACAUUCCAAAAUGUUUGUUCAAUCUUCCAAAUUUGGAAGGAUUGUCCUUACACUCAAAUCAACUUUCUGGUCACCUUGAAGAUAUUUCCGCACCACUAUCUUCACAUUUUACUUCCAUUUGGUUAAGUUCUAAUCAGCUAAGUGGCCACAUACCCAAAUCAUUCUUUCAGUUGACAAAAAUUGAAGUUAUUUGGCUUCACCCGAAUAAACUGGAGGGCACUAUAGAGCUUAGCCUUCUGUCAGGACUGAAAUAUCUUUCUAUGUUGAGCCUUUCUGACAACAUGCUAUCAGUAAUAGACGGAGAAUAUCUAUUUCCUACCCUGCCUAACAUGCAAGACCUACACCUUGCUUCUUGCAACCUUACAAAAAUACCAAAUAUGUUGAGGCGUCAAUAUGAGAUGGAGGAUGUUGACCUUUCAAGCAAUAAUAUAGAUGGAGUUAUACCAUGUUGGUUGUGGGAGAAUGGGAAGAAUAGCAUGCGGUUCAACCUUUCACACAACAUGUUCGCCUCGAGAAAUUACUCCAACAAUAGCUUCUCUUCCAUCACACCGGCGGUGGAUAUACAUAUCAACAACUCCAUCUAUCUUGAUUUGUCAAAGAAUAAACUAAAUGGUCAUAUACCAACUUCACUUUGUGGUGCAAACUAUGAAAUGCUUGACUUGUCAUACAACAACCUUACUGGCUCGGUUCCAUCCUGCUUGAUUCAACAUGGCAAUGUGAAAAUGUUAAAGUUGAGAAACAACCAAUUAAAUGGGAUGUUGCCUGAAAAUAUUGGAGAAGGUUGUAUGCUUCAGCCAAUAGAUUUGAACAGCAACCAAAUUGAAGGGAAAAUACCCAGAUCGCUCUCUAACUGCAGAAGCUUAGAGGUCCUUGAUAUAGGUAACAAUCAUAUUGUUGAUUCUUUCCCAACCUGGUUGGGGAUCCUUUCCAAUCUUCGAGUUCUCAUCUUAAGAUCCAACCAAUUCCAUGGUUCAAUUGGGAGCCCUUCAGAAGGUGUUGCUGCCAGAAAUAUUUUCUCAGGAAUGCAAAUUAUUGAUUUGGCCUCCAAUAACUUUUCUGGGAGCUUAAAUUCAAAAUGGUUUGAGAAGCUAGAGACAAUGAUGACAAACUCUAGUACUGAGGGUAAUGCUCUAGCCCUAGAUAAUAGAAGUUCUCCUGGGAAUGAGUACUACCAAGAAAUUCUCACAUUCAAAGGGAUUGAACAUACAUUUACCAAGAUCCUGACCACUUUCAAGAUGAUUGAUUUCUCAAACAAUGCAUUUGAUGGCCCCAUCCCAGACUCAGUUGGGAAGCUUAUUGCUCUACAUGGCCUGAACAUGUCACAUAAUGCCUUGACUGGAGCAAUCCCAUCAAAGCUUGCCGACUUGGCUCAACUCGAGUCACUAGACCUCUCUCAGAACAAGCUCUCGGGGAUGAUCCCACAGGAGCUAAACAUGCUGACAUAUCUUGCAGUGCUGAAUCUAUCAAACAACAAUUUGAGCGGAAUGAUACCAGAAGGGCAGCAGUUUUCGUCAUUCACCAACAGCUCGUUCGAAGGCAAUGAAGGGCUGUGUGGAAGGCCAUUAUCCAAACAGUGCAACAGUUCAGGUACGGGAACCCUCGACUCAUCAGUGUCUUCGCAAGACAGUGUUGGAACCAUAGUGUUGUUUGUGCUUGUGGGAUCCGGUUUCGCAGUUGGAUUUGCAGCGGCAGUUGUGUCGUCAGUGGUUUUUCAGGUCAAACGUUGGAACUGCAAUCAUUUCCUGUUCUACCAAUGA
This 2451-nucleotide ribosomal RNA is filed under the name Triticum aestivum (bread wheat). RNAcentral's name for it is "partial small subunit ribosomal RNA". The record is from RNAcentral. Lineage: Eukaryota; Viridiplantae; Streptophyta; Magnoliopsida; Poales; Poaceae.